Molecule: ribosomal RNA, 314 nt
Filed under: uncultured bacterium
Lineage: Bacteria
Description: partial 16S ribosomal RNA
Rfam family: Bacterial small subunit ribosomal RNA
Source: RNAcentral
GUAUAAGAGACAGCAGUAGCCACGGUAAUACAGAGGGUGCGAGCGUUAAUCGGAUUUACUGGGCGUAAAGCGUGCGUAGGCGGCUAAUUGAGUCGGAUGUGAAAUCCCCGAGCUUAACUUGGGAAUUGCAUUCGAUACUGGUUAGCUAGAGUGUGGGAGAGGAUGGUAGAAUUCCAGGUGUAGCGGUGAAAUGCGUAGAGAUCUGGAGGAAUACCGAUGGCGAAGGCAGCCAUCUGGCCUAACACUGACGCUGAGGUACGAAAGCAUGGGGAGCAAACAGGAUUAGAUACCCCUGUAGUCCCUGUCUCUUAUAC